Cottoperca gobio is the source of this 468-nucleotide long non-coding RNA. RefSeq lists it as uncharacterized. Lineage: Eukaryota; Metazoa; Chordata; Actinopteri; Perciformes; Bovichtidae. The transcript has 3 exons. The record is from RefSeq and is a predicted model, not a curated record.
AUGGGGUUGAUUAUGCACACUGAUUAGAUGGUGUGUUGCAGCUGCGUGCUGCUUUUGGCUGAAUGCUUUGUUGUUUUUGUCUUUGGUUUGUGUGUUUUGGGAGAUGCACCAUGUUGGAAGCAUUGGUUGGAUUAUCAGGAGCCGUUCAGAAGGGCCUCACAUGUGGGUCAAGGCCUCUGAAAGGAUGUACGGGACUCACAUGCACAUAUGCUCAAUAUCCGUGGGCGGACAAAAUGAAGAAGGCUGGUAAGGAAGCAGUCCUGCUGGGAUUCACUGGAUUGGCAGCUCAAUAAGAACAAUAUCACAGGGACAACAACACGUGCUGCAGCCACAUCCUAAUCCAGUUCUGAUCUGACAAACACUUCCUAUCAACCAGCUCUCUCAACUCCUCCAUCACGUCCCGUCCAGUCCCCUCGCUGCUUUUCUAUUUGUAGAAAGCGGCAUCCAUCGUCAGGGUCUCGGAUACCU